GGGAGGCAGCAGUGGGGAAUAUUGGACAAUGGGGGCAACCCUGACCCAGCAAUGCCGCGUGUGUGAUGAAGGCCUUAGGGUUGUAAAACACUUUCAACGGUGAAGAUGAUGACGGUAGCCGUAGAAGAAGCCCCGGCUAACUUCGUGCCAGCAGCCGCGGUAAUACGAAGGGGGCGAGCGUUGUUCGGAAUUACUGGGCGUAAAGGGCGCGCAGGCGGCCUAUCCAGUCAGGUGUGAAAGCCCCGAGCUCAACUUGGNAA
Molecule: ribosomal RNA, 260 nt
Filed under: uncultured bacterium
Lineage: Bacteria
Description: partial 16S ribosomal RNA
Rfam family: Bacterial small subunit ribosomal RNA
Source: RNAcentral